UCGGCCUUCCAAAGUGCUGGGAUUAGAGGCGUGAGCCACUGUGCCCGGCCAUGCCACAUUAUUUUUAAUUAUGUACAAAGAUCUAAAAUGUCACUCAGGGACCAUUUCAUCCACCACUCUGUUUGGCCACCAGUCUUUUGUCUGUCUCUUCUGCAAUAGUGAGGCGGAUACCCUUUCCUCGGGGAAGAGAAAUCCAUGGUCUGUUGCCCUUGCCAAUAACAAAAAUGUUGGAAAAUCUAGUGGCAAAUCUGUUGCCUUUGGCAUCCUUCACGUAAACCACUUUGAAAGAUCGAGGGUGCCGCUCUCUGUUGAUCACACCAAUUCUUCCCAGGUUAGCACUUCCAGUCACCAUACACAGGUUCCAGUGUCAAUCUUGAUGAAAUCAGUAAUCUUGCCAGUCUCUAAAUCAAUCUGAAUGGUAUCAUUCACCUUGAUAAGGGGAUCAGGGUAGCAGAUGGCGUGAGUAUCAAGAGUCACCAGAUGAGGGAUUCCUUUUGUGCCCACAAAGAUUUUUCUCAGUUUGCAUAACAUGUACUUGGCCUCCUCAGGUGUAAUACGUUGUACAGCAAAGUGACCCUUGGUGUCACAGGUCAGUUGGGAAUUCUCUCCCAUCUUGUCAGUGUUGAUGACAUCCAUUAAUCCAGCAGGGUAGGUUAUAUCAGUUCGGACCUUGCCAUCGAUCUUAACCGCUGUGGGAAAAUCUUUACUUCAACUCCUGUCAGGGCAUACUUAAGUCUCUUCCUUAGGAAAAUGAUGAGGGGUAAACACUCUCUCAACUUGUGGGGACUGGUGGAUGGAUGAGGAGAAACACACCAGUCAAUUUAUCCAACAUUCAAUACUUUGGAGCUGCUAUCCCCUUCAGAUGCUUCUUGGGACCACGAGCCAUGGCUGUGUUAGGCAAGGAAAGAGUUAAUGAUUUUUCAUCUUUUUUUUUUUUUUUUUUUGAGACGGAGUUUCGCUCUUGUUGCCCAGGCUGGAGUGCAAUGGCGUGAUCCCAGCUCACUGCAACCUCUGCCUCCCCGGUUCAAGCAAUUCUUCUGCCUCAGCCUCCCAAGUAGCUGAGAUUACAGGUGCCCACCACCACACCCGGCUAAUUUUUGUAUUUUUAGUAGAGGCGGGGUCUCACCGUAUUGGCCAGGCUGGUCUCAAACUCCUGACCUUGUGAUUCCCCUGCCUCAGUCUCUCAAAGUGCUGGGAUUACAGGUGUGAACCACCGUGCCUGGCCUUGAUCCAUUUUAAGUUCAUUUUAUAUAUGGUAUAAGGUUAGGGUCUAACUCCCUUCUUAUGCAUGUCUAUAUCCAGUUUUUCUGCUAACACUUCUCCCCCACCUCCCACCACAAGCUUUAUUGAUACCUCAUUGACAAAGAAAAACUGUAUAUACUUAAAGUGUGCAAUGUGAUGUUUAGUAUAAACAUUGUGAAAUGAUUACCACUACCAUACUAAUUUAUGUAUCCAUCACUUCACAGUCACCUUUUUUACUGUGUCGAGAACACUUAAAAUCUGCUGUCUU
This 1510-nucleotide long non-coding RNA is filed under the name Homo sapiens (human). RNAcentral describes it as "HSALNT0255560". The record is from RNAcentral. Lineage: Eukaryota; Metazoa; Chordata; Mammalia; Primates; Hominidae.